CCGGCGCACGGUGGAGUAACACGUAUGCAAUCCACCUGUAACAGGGGGAGUAACCCGGAGAAAUACCGGACUAAUACCCACUAAUAUGGGCGCUCCGCAUGGAGAGUUCAUUAAAGAGAGCAAUUUUGGUUACAGACGAGCAUGCGCUCCAUUAGCCAGUUGGCGGGGUAACGGCCCACCAAGGCGACGAUGGAUAGGGGUUCUGAGAGGAAGGUCCCCCACAUUGGAACUGAGACACGGUCCAA
RNAcentral lists this ribosomal RNA (245 nucleotides) under uncultured bacterium. Its description in RNAcentral is "partial 16S ribosomal RNA". It matches the Rfam family "Bacterial small subunit ribosomal RNA", at positions 95 to 334 of the family's 1533-position model. The record is from RNAcentral.